GAGGAAAGAGGGAGGAGGGAGGAAUACAUGCAAGUCGAGCGAACAGACGAGGAGCUUGCUCCUCUGACGUUAGCGGCGGACGGGUGAGUAACACGUGGAUAACCUACCUAUAAGACUGGGAUAACUUCGGGAAACCGGAGCUAAUACCGGAUAAUAUAUUGAACCGCAUGGUUCAAUAGUGAAAGACGGUUUUGCUGUCACUUAUAGAUGGAUCCGCGCCGCAUUAGCUAGUUGGUAAGGUAACGGCUUACCAAGGCAACGAUGCGUAGCCGACCUGAGAGGGUGAUCGGCCACACUGGAACUGAGACACGGUCCAGACUCCUACGGGAGGCAGCAGUAGGGAAUCUUCCGCAAUGGGCGAAAGCCUGACGGAGCAACGCCGCGUGAGUGAUGAAGGUCUUCGGAUCGUAAAACUCUGUUAUUAGGGAAGAACAAAUGUGUAAGUAACUAUGCACGUCUUGACGGUACCUAAUCAGAAAGCCACGGCUAACUACGUG
RNAcentral lists this ribosomal RNA (497 nucleotides) under uncultured bacterium. Its description in RNAcentral is "partial 16S ribosomal RNA". It matches the Rfam family "Bacterial small subunit ribosomal RNA", at positions 28 to 507 of the family's 1533-position model. The record is from RNAcentral.